GCCUCAACUCAGGGAAGGCGACCCGCUGAACUUAAGCAUAUCAAUAAGCGGAGGAGAAGAAAGUAACAACGAUUCCCCUAGUAACGGCGAGUGAAGAGGGAAGAGCUCAAGCCCUAAUCUGAACAUGCGCUCCGCACGUUUCGAAUUGUAGUCUGAAGGGCAGCGUCGCCGCAUCGUCCCGGGUCCAAGUCCCCUGGAAAGGGGCGCCAGAGAGGGUGAGAGUCCCGUAUUUGGCCAUGGGUCGGUGUCCUACGCGCUCCGGAGAGUCGGGUUGCUCGGGAUUGCAGCCUGAACGGGAGGUAAAUUUCUCCCAAAGCUAAAUACUGGCGAGAGACCGAUAGCGAACAAGUACCGUGAGGGAAAGAUGCAAAGAACUUUGAAAAGAGAGUUAAAAAGUACCUGAACUUGUUGGGGGGAAAGCGGUUGCUUCCAGUGUGCGCGCGUCGAUUCAGCCCGCGAGGGUGUACUUUGGCGCGCGCGGUCAGGGUGGGUUUGGCGCGGCGUUGACGUCGCUCGCGAGGCCUUCGGGCAACCGUGCGUUCGUGCGUCGCUCCUGACCGAGGCUCGCUCUGCUGCGGGGUCGGCGUAUCGUCUAGGCGUCUCACAAGCAACUUGUGCUCGCCGGGCGUGAUUCCCUACCCGCUCGUGUAGCGUGACCCUGACGAAAUGGGCGCCACCGACCCGUCUAGAAACACGGACCAAGGAGUCUGA
This 711-nucleotide ribosomal RNA is filed under the name Diacronema lutheri. Its description in RNAcentral is "partial Eukaryotic large subunit ribosomal RNA". It matches the Rfam family "Eukaryotic large subunit ribosomal RNA", at positions 1 to 678 of the family's 3401-position model. The record is from RNAcentral. Lineage: Eukaryota; Haptophyta; Pavlovophyceae; Pavlovales; Pavlovaceae.